Molecule: non-coding RNA, 575 nt
Organism: Camelina sativa (false flax)
Lineage: Eukaryota; Viridiplantae; Streptophyta; Magnoliopsida; Brassicales; Brassicaceae
Source: RefSeq, a predicted model, not a curated record
UCAAUUGAUACGAGCAGAAAGCCACAUCGAACCACCGUGGUCGUAGCUUCUGAUUCUCACCGUACGAUCAUAAUAAGGAGCUGAAGGAUUCAGUCUCGUCACGCUAUUUUCGAGGAGACCAAUGAUGGAUCCGAAUCAGGUGGCAGAGCUGAGAAGAGUCGUCAUGAUGCAUCAUUCGUCUUCAUGAUCCUUCUCUGGUUUUCUUCAAGGAGUAUCUCCGAAGUUUAGGAGCUCCUGUUCCCAAGAUUGAGAAAACUGUACGGUGUCUCUCGUAUCGCAACUCUCAUGUCUUGUGUUUGGAGCAUUGGUAGAAAUAUCGACGCCUGAGGAAAGAAAAGGAGCUUCAAAGGGCUGAACGCGAGAGACAACAACAGCAAGAAUUGAAAAACUAUAGUGCCGUUGUAGAGCUCUCUCUCUCUUUGUAUAAUUUUACAUUCUUAGCAGAAAGCACAUAAGCCUGAUUCUUCUCCAUGAGCGAGAAGCUCAGGCUGCACUCAAAGACGGGCAAGUGAUUGGCAUCCAUUCAACAAGCGAACUAGAAGCAAAGAAAAAGGCCGCUAAGAAGGCAUCGCGUC